UCUAAUUCUACUCACAAAUUAUCUCUCUUUUCUUUACCAACGGUCUGCUACGUCUUUCCCCACUCACUCUCCACUACUAAUCACCUCACUCCACUCACUCUCUGAUAGCCCUCCACGCGUCCCUCUAUCCCUCUCCCAUCUCUCAGCAUAUCAUACUCACAUUUCUCCUCUCAUUCCAUUCACACUACCUCUCUCAAAUCUACUCAGCAGAAAACGAAAAAAUUCUCUCUCACACUUCAUCUCCAUCUCACACAAACCCUUACGGAAACCUCUCUCAACUUCCCACAGAAAACCCUUCCUCUCCAAUCAUCUCCUCCGCCGCCACCUACUCACCAUUCACUCCACCUUCACCUUCCUCACUCACGAUCCAUUCACCGAACCUCCUCCGCAACCCUUCAUCGCUAACACCACCGCCGUCCGUCUCCACUACCGUCGAAAACACGCUCACCGCACCAACCAAAACCCUUCGCCACUCGACGCACACUCCCAUUCAUCACAAACCUACGCCGUCUCAACCAACAUCCGCCACCAAAAAAAUCCACGACCUCCACCGCCAAUACCCUCCGUCAAAACCUCCUUCGCAGGAGAUUGCUGUAUCUUCGCGAGCACACUAAUAAAAAACCUCCCAUUUCCCCUCCUGAGGUCUUCAUCCAUAUCUACCAUCAAUUCUAAUCACUCGAAGCAAGCAAGUAACCGUCAAUUAACAGUCAAAUAGCAAAAUCAGACUAA
Molecule: long non-coding RNA, 729 nt
Filed under: Lathyrus oleraceus (garden pea)
Lineage: Eukaryota; Viridiplantae; Streptophyta; Magnoliopsida; Fabales; Fabaceae
Description: Pisum sativum (pea) long non-coding RNA (PSAT_LNC014923)
Source: RNAcentral